Molecule: ribosomal RNA, 554 nt
Filed under: Minervarya syhadrensis
Lineage: Eukaryota; Metazoa; Chordata; Amphibia; Anura; Dicroglossidae
Description: partial 16S ribosomal RNA
Rfam family: Bacterial large subunit ribosomal RNA
Source: RNAcentral
GCCUGCCAGUGAAUUUUAACGGCCGCGGUACUCUGACCGUGCGAAGGUAGCAUAAUCACUUGUUCUUUAAAUGAGGACUAGUAUCAACGGCAUCACGAGGAUUUUACUGUCUCCUUUUUCCUAUCGGUGAAACUGAUCUCCCCGUGAAGAAGCGGGGAUAAUAUUAUAAGACGAGAAGACCCCAUGGAGCUUUAAACCCAGUAACACCUCAAACACACCCCUCCCAAAAAGUUUUAAUGUUCUGUUCACUGGUUUUAGGUUGGGGCGACCGCGGAGUACAACUUAACCUCCACAGCGCACGGAACUUAUUCCUUACCUGAGAGCUACACCUCAAAGAAUUAUCACAUUAACGUAAAAUGAUCCAAUAUUUUCCUUAUUGAUUAAUGAACCAAGUUACCCUGGGGAUAACAGCGCAAUCCAUNUCUAGAGCCCCUAUCGACAAAUGGGUUUACGACCUCGAUGUUGGAUCAGGGUAUCCCCAGUGGUGCAGCCGCUACUAAUGGUUUGUUUGUUCAACAAUUAAAACCCUACGUGAUCUGAGUUCAAACCGGAGA